GAUGAACGCUGGCGGCGUGCCUAAUACAUGCAAGUCGAGCGAACAGACGAGGAGCUUGCUCCUCUGACGUUAGCGGCGGACGGGUGAGUAACACGUGGAUAACCUACCUAUAAGACUGGGAUAACUUCGGGAAACCGGAGCUAAUACCGGAUAAUAUAUUGAACCGCAUGGUUCAAGAGGGAAAGACGGUUUUGCUGUCACUGAUAGAUGGAUCCGCGCCGCAUUAGCUAGUUGGUAAGGUAACGGCUUACCAAGGCAACGAUGCGUAGCCGACCUGAGAGGGUGAUCGGCCACACUGUAACUGAGACACGGUCCCGACUCCUACGGGAGGCAGCAGUAGGGAAUCUUCCGCAAUGGGCGAAAGCCUGACGUAGCAACGCCGCGUGAGUGAUGAAGGUCUUCGGAUCGUAAAACUCUGUUAUUAGGGAAGAACAAAUGUGUAAGUAACUAUGCACGUCUUGACGGUACCUAAUCAGAAAGCCACGGCUAACUACGUG
Molecule: ribosomal RNA, 497 nt
Filed under: uncultured bacterium
Lineage: Bacteria
Description: partial 16S ribosomal RNA
Rfam family: Bacterial small subunit ribosomal RNA
Source: RNAcentral